UGGGGGAUUUUGCACAAUGGGCGCAAGCCUGAUGCAGCGACGCCGCGUGAGGGAUGAAGGCCUUCGGGUUGUAAACCUCUUUCGCUGGGUUGAAAGGCCAUGCUUUGGGUGUGGUUGAUUUGAACUGGUAAAGAAGUACCGGCUAACUACGUGCCAGCAGCCGCGGUAAUACGUAGGGUACUAGCGUUGUCUGGAUUUAUUGGGCGUAAAGGGCUUGUAGGUGGUUUGUCGCGUCUGUCGUGAAAUCCUGUGGCUUAACCAUGGGCUUGCGGUGGGUACGGGCAGGCUUGAGUGCGGUAGGGGAGACUGGAAUUCCUGGUGUAGCGGUGGAAUGCGCAGAUAUCAGGAGGAACACCGGUGGCGAAGGCGGGUCUCUGGGCCGUUACUGACACUGAGGAGCGAAAGCGUGGGGAGCGAACAGG
RNAcentral lists this ribosomal RNA (422 nucleotides) under Fusobacteriota bacterium. RNAcentral's name for it is "Fusobacteria bacterium partial 16S ribosomal RNA". It matches the Rfam family "Bacterial small subunit ribosomal RNA", at positions 355 to 776 of the family's 1533-position model. The record is from RNAcentral. Lineage: Bacteria; Fusobacteriati; Fusobacteriota.